Molecule: ribosomal RNA, 109 nt
Filed under: Nothoprocta perdicaria
Lineage: Eukaryota; Metazoa; Chordata; Aves; Tinamiformes; Tinamidae
Source: RNAcentral
ACCCCUGGUUAUACCAUCCUGAACAUGCCUGAUCUCAUCUGAUCUUAGAAGGGUGUUUGGAUGGGAGUACUUGGGUGGGAGGGUGCUUGGGAAUGCCUGGCCUGGUGCU